RNAcentral lists this ribosomal RNA (439 nucleotides) under uncultured bacterium. RNAcentral's name for it is "partial 16S ribosomal RNA". It matches the Rfam family "Bacterial small subunit ribosomal RNA", at positions 339 to 795 of the family's 1533-position model. The record is from RNAcentral.
CUACGGGUCGCAGCAGUGAGGAAUAUUGCACAAUGGGGGGAACCCUGAUGCAGCAACGCCGCGUGGAGGAUGACGCAUUUCGGUGUGUAAACUCCUUUUAUAUGUCAAGAAAAUGACGGUAGCAUAUGAAUAAGCACCCGCUAACUCCGUGCCAGCAGCCGCGGUAAUACGGAGGGUGCAAGCGUUAAUCGGAAUCACUGGGCGUAAAGGACGCGUAGGCGGGUUGGAAAGUCAGGUGUGAAAUCCUACAGCUUAACUGUAGAACUGCACUUGAAACUUCUAAUCUAGAGUAUGGGAGGGGGAGAUGGAAUUAGUGGUGUAGGGGUAAAAUCCGUAGAUAUCACUAGGAAUACCUAAAGCGAAGGCGAUCUCCUGGAACAUUACUGACGCUAAGGCGUGAAAGCGUGGGGAGCAAACAGGAUUAGAUACCCGGGUAGUC